GGGCCAAGCAGGAGUGAUUGGAAUGCCUGGAGUGGAAGGAGCCAGAGGACCAAAGGGUGAGAGAGGAAUCUGGGGGCUUCCUGGAGCAGAUGGUCCUGAAGGGCCAAAGGGAAAUCCAGGACCCAGUGGUAUGAUUGGACCAAUUGGUAUGCGUGGUAUUGAGGGCUUCCCAGGAGAGACUGGUAUGAGGGGAGACCAUGGCCAGCAGGGGCCUUCA
Molecule: long non-coding RNA, 217 nt
Organism: Heteronotia binoei (common prickly gecko)
Lineage: Eukaryota; Metazoa; Chordata; Lepidosauria; Squamata; Gekkonidae
Exons: 4
Source: RefSeq, a predicted model, not a curated record